GGCAGGGACUGUAGAGAUAAUGAUCUUCCCUGCUCUCAAAGGGGUCCCCGUCAGAGAAAGAUGAGAAAUCAGACCAUCAACAACCACGCAGGGGCAUCUGGCUGAGCCUGAGGCUUGAGAAAGGCUUUCCAAGAACAUGGAUUUAAUAAAAUUCCCUGCCCUGCAUAAGACUGUUUUGAUUAAAGAAUGCCUAGCACACAGCAAAUCUUCAUCAAAUGUCAGUUUUCAUUAGAUGUUUCCUGCAUGGUUUGUCUCCUCAGUCAUCGUCCAGAGGACUCUGAGAAGCUGUAGGAAUAUGCAGGCGCAGACUCAAGGCCCGGCUUCAUCUCCAACGUUGUGGAAAGGGACUGUACGUCACGGGGCAGAGCCCUAUGCUCCCGUAUGCCACCUGGACAGAGCCCGGGGAGAGUGACCUCCCGGGAGUAUCCACGUUGGAAUGCCUAUGAUUAAACAGCAUCACCCUCAAAACAUUUUAAGAGAUUCCAUGUCCCCCCAUUCCAUUCUACACGAGUGAAUUUGAGGAAAGCCUGUUUAAAACCCAGUGGUUUACUACUGUUUCAUGGUUUCUCUACUUAAUUAGUCAUUGUCCUAGGACUAUUCAGGUACAUACACCCACCUUCAUCUCCAGUAUCAUGGAAAGGGCUCGUAUUGGACACCAAAUGCUUGGCUACCAUACACAGACUUUGAGGGAGUAUGCACAUUUGUUUUGUUUAUAGGACUUGCACGCAAGCUUUGCUAAUCUUGACUUUGGUUAAUUCACCCAAUUUUUCCAUUAGCAGCAAGUUUCUACCCUAUCACAUGAGAAAGAUGUGAAAAUAUUAACUUUUAUUGAAUAAAUAGCUAUCUUCCCAGACAUAAGAAUACAUUUACGAAACUGUCAACAUGCCAACAAAAAUGCAGCAAAGUUUCUAUCUGGAUGUAUUAAUGGCAGGAACACAUUCAUGAAAAGGAACUGGGCUGGAAUGAUUUAAAUGUCAACAGGAAAUAAAAGCCAAAAACAAUUCUUACCCCAAAUUCUUUGGUUU
Molecule: long non-coding RNA, 1025 nt
Organism: Zalophus californianus (California sea lion)
Lineage: Eukaryota; Metazoa; Chordata; Mammalia; Carnivora; Otariidae
Exons: 3
Source: RefSeq, a predicted model, not a curated record